RNAcentral lists this ribosomal RNA (253 nucleotides) under uncultured bacterium. RNAcentral's name for it is "partial 16S ribosomal RNA". It matches the Rfam family "Bacterial small subunit ribosomal RNA", at positions 524 to 776 of the family's 1533-position model. The record is from RNAcentral.
UACGUAGGUGACAAGCGUUAUCCGGAUUUAUUGGGCGUAAAGCGCACGCAGGCGGCUCUUCAAGUCUGACGUGAAAUCUCUCGGCUUAACCGGGAGCGGUCGUUGGAAACUGAAGGGCUUGAGGCGAUGAGAGGGGUGUGGAAUUCCCGGUGUAGUGGUGGAAUGCGUAGAUAUCGGGAGGAACAUCAGUGGCGAAGGCGACUACCUGGCCUGUUCUUGACGCUGAGGCGCGAAAGCUAGGGGAGCAAACGGG